UAGGCCCGUGGAGAGAGUCUGCUCAUUGGCCGAGAGGAGGGAAGGAGAAGACUAGGCGAUAGAGGAGUCACUGGGGUCUCCUGGGUUAAUAUUUGAAGCAUAUAAGGUUUAUUUUUGAGGCCUCUGUGUGUUUGUUCAGUGGCUAAUGAGUAGAACUGGCAGCAGGCGGGCAGCUAUCUUAGUGGUCGUAGUAAACGGGAGCUAUGUUACCUUCACUGCAUUUAGGAGCGCCCGGUGAGGACAGCUGAUGUACGUAGUGGUGGACUAUUUUUGUCGGCUGUAUCGACUCAACCAUUCAGAGCCUGGCACUCAUGGACAUGACCCUGGGCCAAGAACAUGUAUGUAAAGCGCUGCACGGCCACCUCUCUCUCCAUACACGUUUGACAUACUCAGACACGACAGACUUCUUCCAGAUGAGGUUUAAGAUGGAGACUCCGACAUCAUCAAAUCUGUUGUUCUGCCCAAGUUGUUCUGAACAAGGCAGUUAACCUGUUCCUAGGCCGUCAUUGAAAAUAAGAAUUUGUUCUUAACUGACUUGCCUGGUUAAAUAAAGGUCAAAUAAAAAAAAAUCAUUGGAGGACAAGAGGGAAGGAGGAGACCAAGUACCGAUGACCUGUGUUGAGAGCUGGGUUUACCAACAUCAGCAAAUCAAUAUUUUUUAUACCAGAGUCGUUCUUGAAUUACGGUGGCAUUUGGGUAUGGUGUAAUUAAAAGCAACAUUCUUUCUAGAUUUGUAUUUAUUGAAAUGUAUUGACCAUUAGGAUAACAUUGUGCCACCAGUAGGAGUUGUAACACCAAUGAGAAUUUUGUUUAUUGAGGAUUUUCUUAAAUUGGAGGCCACCGAUACUUAAAUCUAAGAUCAUUAACCCAUAAAAUAGUUGACUAAAGGGAUAUGAUUAAUAAUUGAGCUCAUAAUGUUAUUUCCCUUUUUAAAUUGACUAACCCCAAGUGACACUGGAUUCAGACACACCACAUUAUCAAUGGAAUCCUCAAAUGUAUGACAUAAUAAAAAAUAGUGUGAUUAGCUAACAAUUUUCUUUAAUAAAGACGUCUCCCCCGAUGUUUUCCACUGGAGGGAAUGGUCGAGGUCCUUGUAUAUCUUUGUAAUGAGUGGUUUUUCAGGCGGUAACUCCAAGGAAAUAAAACUGAGGGACAGAUAUAGUAGUAAAAAUAUAUAUAUUUUUAAUAGCCUUUGUUUUCAUUGAUCUAAACAAUAUCUUAAAUACCUUUUUCAUAUUCUAACAUUCCAAAUAAUAUUUAGCUCUAAAUCCCCAAAACGUCACUACAACUUCACACAUCACUACCUGGACAAGCCAAUGUGAUUGCUUGCCCUAAGUACUUUAUACUGCAAAACUUUUUGUUAAUACAUUGUUUAAUGGACUUGCAUUACAGUACCUAAGAGGUGGCGAAGUAUGUCUAUGAUAAGACGCUGCUCUACCUUCUUGACAGCACUGUCAACAAGGCAGGUCCUACAGGCCUACGAUUGUUCAGUCGUGUGGUCAGGUGCCACAAAAAAGGACUUUGGAAAAUUGCAUUUGGUUCAGAACAGGGCAGCGCGGCUGGCCCUUGAAUGUACACAGAGAGCUAAUGUUAAUAAUAUACAGGUCAAUCUCUCCUGGUAAUAAUGGAGGAGAGAUUGAUUUCAUCACUUCUUGUAUUUAUGAGAGGAAUUGACAUGUUGAACGCACCAAGCCGUCUGUUUGAACUCCUGGGACACAGCUCGGACACCCAGGCAUAUCCCACAAGAUAUGCCACAAGAGGUCUCUUCACAGUCCCCAAAUCCAGAACAGACUAUGGAAAGCGCACAGUACUAAAUAGAGCCAUGACAACAUGGAACUCUAUUCCACAUCUCGUAACUCAUGCAAGCAGUAAAAUUAGAUACAAAAAAAUAUAUAUAUAUUAAAAUCUUUUAAACACCUUAUCGAACAUCGGGGACUGUGAAUCAAUACAAACAUUGGAGCAUAAACACACGAUAGCAUACGCACUAUAUAGUCACGUGCACAUGGAUUUUGUACGGUAUAUAUGUGGUGGAGUAGGGUACCUGAGGGCACACAGUCUGAAUGUACUGUUUUUAUAAUUGUAUGAACUGCCUUCAUUUUGCUGCCUUGGCAGCAGCUAAUGGGGGUACAUAAUAAAUACAAAUUGUUUUAUUAUUGUCUAACUAUUUGUCCGUUUUUCAUGGUUGCAAAGGCCACCACAAUUCAAGAAUGAACCAUGUAUGAUUCUGUGGCACUCUCACCCGUGUCUCCGAGGCACUUUGGUAUGCCAAGAUACCUGUCUGUAGGCUAUGUUAUUGGACUGUUCUCUCUCUGACCCUCCUCCAAAAUUGCACUGAGUCUUGAUUCUUAUUCGUACCUUAAUGUUCCUUUCAUUGUUGUUAAUAGUUGUGUUCAUAUUUAUUAAGUUAAGUUGCCGAUAAUGAUCCUUCCAGUUUUCAUCAUCUGGAUUCUCUCCUGCUGUAGAACAUUAAAUUAACAGCCCUCCCUCUGUAGGAUCCAUUUCAGUAAUUCAGCAGGGUAAAUAGAUGGGUAUGUGCAUACCGUAUGCCCUGUGAUACUGUAUUCAGUAUCACAGUAUCACAUAUGUACGUCUAUGGUGCCUCCCCAGGGUUACUAUGUAUGUCUAUGGUGCCCGCCCAGGGUUAAUAUGCAUGUCUAUGGUGCCCGCCCAGGGUUAAUAUGUAUGUCUAUGGUGCCUGCCCAGGGUUAAUAUGUAUGUCUAUGGUGCCUGCCCAGGGUUAAUAUGUAUGUCUAUGGUGCCUGCCCAGGGUUAAUCUGCAUGUCUAUGGUGCCUGCCCAGGGUUAAUAUGCAUGUCUAUGGUGCCUGCCCAGGGUUAAUAUGCAUGUCUAUGGUGCCCGCCCAGGGUUAAUAUGUAUGUCUAUGGUGCCUGCCCAGGGUUAAUAUGUAUGUCUAUGGUGCCUGCCCAGGGUUAAUAUGCAUGUCUAUGGUGCCUGCCCAGGGUUAAUAUGCAUGUCUAUGGUGCCUGCCCAGGGUUAAUAUGUAUGUCUAUGGUGCCUGCCCAGGGUUAAUAUGUAUGUCUAUGGUGCCUGCCCAGGGUUAAUAUGCAUGUCUAUGGUGCCCGCCCAGGGUUAAUAUGCAUGUCUAUGGUGCCUGCCCAGGGUUAAUAUGCAUGUCUAUGGUGCCUGCCCAGGGUUAAUAUGUAUGUCUAUGGUGCCUGCCCAGGGUUAAUAUGUAUGUCUAUGGUGCCUGCCCAGGGUUAAUAUGCAUGUCUAUGGUGCCUGCCCAGGGUUAAUAUGUAUGUCUAUGGUGCCUGCCCACAGUUAAUAUGUAUGUCUAUGGUGCCUGCCCAGGGUUAAUAUGUAUGUCUAUGGUGCCUGCCCACAGUUAAUAUGUAUGUCUAUGGUGCCUGCCCAUGGUGACAGGCCAUCAGCUUACAGUAGCUGUUCUACAUAGCCAACAGUGCCCUGCAGCAGCAUCAGAAUGCCUCAGCAAAGGCCUCCCUCCACCUACUGCCCAUGGACCUAACCAUUGAUGUUUGCAGAUCUGUAUGGCGGAAGCUUCACCUCUACACUGCUAAUAUCUAUCUAGACCCUUCAGAUCGGCAAACAUGCCCAUAUUAGGGCCAAGGGGAAGGGGUAGGUAGAGAUUGAAUUGAGACCAGCUGUAGUCGUCAAUGUGCUGAAAGAAGAAACCUUGUAUGCCUUCAUGAUCCACACAGGGCUGCUUCAACAGCCACAGGGUGGCGCUAGCUAUUUGUCUAACAGUCCUCUGGUACUGUACUGUGUAGUUGUAUGUAAACAUGUUAAGAUAUACAGUGGUACGGUAUGAAACUGUAACCUAUAGUUAGUUAUAUGUAACUAGCCAUUUAUAAAGUUUGAUUUGUGAAAAUAUAAGUGUGUGAUGUUAACACUUUUUUGUGAUCUGGUCACUUGGUGUAAAACAUGAGGUUUCUGGGUGGGUUGUGAUGUGAAAUAGUUGAGGCUGACAGAGUGCACCUGUCACUUCAUUUUUUUGCCUGGCAACUCAACAGAAGACCAUACUAGAAACAAGUAUUUGAAUGUUUUAGGUUUAAUUUAUUUGCACCAAAGAAAAUAAGUCAUCAAAUACAAUACAGAUCAAAACUAAUACAUAUAAAACGGGUUGCAGGUUGGAAGCCCAAUGGCUGAUUUAUAAACCACACCUCAGCAACAGUUGAAGUCAGAAGUUUACAUACAACUUAGCCAAAUACCUUUUAAACUCAGUUUUUCACAAUUCCUGACAUUUAAUCCUAUUAACAAUUCCCUGUUUUAGGUCAGUUAGGAUCACCACUUUAUUUUAAGAAUGUGAAAUGUCAGAAUAACAGUAGAGUGAUUUAUUUCAGCUUUUAUUUCUUUCAUCACAUUUCCAGUGGGUCAGAAGUUUACAUACACUCAAUUAGUAUUUGGUAGCAUUGUCUUUAAAUUGUUUAACUUGGGUCAAACGUUUUGGGUAGUCUUCCACAAGCUUCCCACAAUAAGUUGGGUGAAUUUUGGCCCAUUCCUCCGGACAGAGUUGGUGUAACUGAGGCAGGUUUGUAGGCCUCCUUGCUCGCACACACUUUUUCAGUUCUGCCAGAUUUUCAGAUUUUCUGUGGGAUUGAGGUCAGGGCUUUGUGAUGGCCUCUCCCAAUAUCUUGACCUUGUUGUCCUUAAGCCAUUUUGCCACAACUUUGGAAGUAUGCUUGGGGUCAUUGUCCAUUUGGAAGACCCAUUUUCGACCAAGCUUUAACUUAACUGAUGUCUUGAGAUGUUGCUUCAAUAUAUCCCCAUAAUUUUCCUACCUCAUUAUGCCAUCUAUUUUGUGAAGUGUACCAGUCCCUCCUGCAGCAAAGCACCCCACAACCUGAUGCUGCCACCCCUGUGCUUCAGGGUUGGGAUGGUGUUCUUCGGCUUGCAAGCCUCCCCCUUUUUCCUCCUAACAUAACAAUGGUCAUUAUGGCCAAACAGUUUCAUCAGACCAGAUGAUAUUUCUCCAAAAAGUACGAUCUUUGUCCCUAUGUGCAGUUGCAAACCGUAGUCUGGCUUUUUUAUGGUGGUUUUGGAGCAGUGGUUUCUUCCUUGCUGAGCGUCCUUUCAGGUUAUGUCGAUAUAGGACUUGUUUUACUGUAGAUAUAGAUACUUUUGUAGCUGUUUCCUCCAGCAUCUUCACAAGAUCCUUUGGUGUUGUUCUGUGAUUGAUUUGCACUUUUCGCACCAAAGUACGUUCAUCUCUAGGAGACAGAACGCUUCUCCUUCCUGAGCGGUAUGAUGGCCGCGUGGUCCCAUGGUGUUUAUACUUGUCUCCCCUCAUUAUUGAUUAGAAGUUCCAAGACAGCGUAUGUAAACAGUGUAUUCCACGACAGCAUAUGUCAGCUUCUGACUUCAACUGUAUAAGUCUCCAGCUUCAGUGAUUUCCUCUGUCCUCUCUCACCUACUUUUGAAAAAGGUCAAAGGUAAUCGAGGAGAGGGAAUUUAGACAUUCUUUCUCCACUUGUGAAUGACAUAUAGAGGGGUGGAUGACAUAAACAAAUGGAAUCAGCUGCGCAAGACAUUUAAUAGAUAAAAUGAUAAGUAGCAUAUUGUUUUUAAACACGUGCAUGCUUUUCUCCACAGACUAAAAAAAAGUGGAUUCAAAGGGGGGGUGUGGCUGAUUUCAAAACUCUUCUGGGAAAGACUCCGUUAUGAUACACAUGACUAUCUUCGAUGAAAGGUGGCUAUCGAGGAGGGGAGGACUCUUCCGUUCACCUACUAACCAAUUGACAUCUCUAUCAGUUUCCGAGUCACGGAGGAGAGGGCAGAGGAUGGACCUUUGUCUAAAUGAGAAUAAGUCUAUAAGUAGUAGGCUACAACUUCCUGCUCAGCAUCAUAACGUCGGAGACCAAUUCAUCUUAUUUGAUUGUUCUUUUGUUGAGAUUACAUUUAAUUUAUUCAAGUAUGCAUUCAUCUUUAUUAAACACAUUGUUAAAAACAAUAUCAGAUAUUGAAAGGAUCCUUUCAGUUCGACUAGCUCACCAUGACAAAUCAUAAAAAUAUACAUAUAUUACUCAUAAAAGCAGUCUGAUUUGAUUUGACAAUUUAAAAUACAUUACAAAAGGCACAGAUACAUAUAUAUUUGUCUGCAGCAAAGUGAUAAUCUGUUGUUAUCAUCAGAAAGUUGAGUGGUUUGGUUCAUCAACCUUGCUUCCUGACUCUAUACUAUAGCUUAAUUGACCCAUAUCUCAUUUACUGUAAUAUUGUCUGAGCCAGUACAUAUGCCCCCAACCUACACAAAUGACUCAUCAUACAAAAUAACUCUGCAAGACUGGCUACCUCCUCUAAAUACCUGGCUCCAUCUGAACCUUUGUUUAAGAAACUCAAUGUCUUGUCUAUUUAUGACAUCACUGUACACCAAUUAUGCACUAUCAUCUACAAUCCUCAUACCUCCCAGACAGUUUACCUAAACCCUUCAAUGGAUUCUUCCAGGCUCAUUCUGAGAUCCAUCUAUAUAACACAAGACACUGUGAUCACAUUCACCCUCCCCACUGCUGCACCUCACAUAGUAAAUCCUCUAUCAGAUACAGAGGUAGCAUACUCUGGAAUUCUUAUCUUCACAUUGCCAAAACCUCAUCAUCCCUCAGUAACUUUAAGCGAAGACUGGGGGUCAGCCUGAUGAACCAAACUACUCAGUAAUCUCCUGCAUAUAGCCCAACUCUCUCACUCACAAUGCACACACACACACACACACAUUUAAACAAAACAUUUACUGUUUAUUAUUUUUGUGAUUGCUGAUCGGUUAAUUUGUACAUUUUAUAAUUAGUUUUAUCCAGGGAUUUUUCUACUUAUGUAUUGUACAUACAGUUGAAGUCGGAAGUUUACAUACACUUCAGUUGGAGUCAUUAAAACUCGUUUUUAAACCACUCCACAAAUUUCUUGUUAACAAUCUAUAGUUUUGGCAAGUCGGUUAGGACAGCUACUUUGUGCAUGACACAAGUAAUUUUCCCAACAAUUGUUUACAGACAGAUUAUUUCACUUAUAAUUCACUGUAUCACAAUUCCAGUGGGCCAGAAGUUUACAUACACUAAGUUGACUGUGCCUUUAAACAGCUUGGAAAAUUCCAGAAAAUGAUGUCAUGGUUUGAGAAGAUUCUGAUAGGCUAAUUGACAUCAUUUGAGUCAAUUGGAGGUCAAGCUCAGUGCCUCUUUGCUUGACAUAAUGGGAAAAUCAAAAGAAAUCAGCCAAGACCUCAGAAAAAAUAUUGUUGACUUCCACAAAUCUGGUUCAUCCUUGGGAGAAAUUUCUAAACGCCUGAAUGUACCACGUUCAUCUGUACAAACAAUAGAACACAAGUAUACACACCAUGGGACAACGCGGCCGUCAUACCGUUCAGGAAAGACACGCGUACUGUCUCCUAGAGAUGAACAUACUUUGGUGCGAAAAGUGCAAAUCAAUCCCUUAACAACAGCAAAGGACCUUGUGACGAUGCUGGAGGAAACAGUAUCUAUAUUCACAGUAAAAUUCGUCCCAUAUCGAAAUAACUUGAAAGGAUGCUCAGCAAGGAAGAAGCCACUGCUCCAAAACCGCCAUAAAAAGCUAGACUACGGUUUGCAACUGCACAUGGGGACAAAGAUCGUACUUUUUGGAGAAAUGUCCUCUGGUCUGAUGAAACAAAAAUAGAACUGUUUGGCCAUAAUGACCAUCGUUAUGUUUGGAGGGAAUAGGGGGCUAGCUUGCAAGCCGAACAACACCAUCCCAACCGUGAAGCACGGGGGUGGCAGCAUCAUGUUGUGGGGGUGCUUUGCUGCAGGAGGGACUGGUGCACUUCACAAAAUAGAUAGCACUAUGAGGAAGAAAAAUUAUGGGGAUAUAUUGAAGCAACAUCUCAAGACAUCAAUCAGGAAGUUAAUGCUUGGUCGAAAAUGGGUCUUCCAAAUGGGCAAUGACUCCAAGCAUACUUCCAAAGUUGUGGCAAAAUGGCUUAAGGACAACAAGGUCAAGGUAUUGGAGUGGCCAUUACAAAGCCCUGACCCCAAUCCUAUAGAACAUUUGUGGGCAGAACUGAAAAAGUGUGUGCGAGCAAGGAGGCCUACAAACCUGACUCAGUUACACCAGCUCUGUCAGGAUGAAAUGCAAUGCUAUCAAAUACUAAUUGAGUGUAUGUAAACUUCUGACCCACUGGGAAUGUGAUGAAAGAAAUAAAAGCUCAAAUAAAUCAUUCCCUCUACUAUUUUUCCUGACAUUUCACAUUCUUAAAAUAAAGUGGUGAUCCUACCUGACCUAAGAAAGGGCAUUUUUAAAUGCCAGGAACUGUGAAAAACUGAGUUGUAAUAUAUUUGGCUAAGGUUUGUGUGUCACGACUUCCACCGAAGUUGUUUCCUCUCCUUGUUCGGGCGGUGUUUGGCGAUCGGCGUCACCGGUCUUCCAGGCGUCGUCGAUGAACUUUUCAUUUUCCAUUUGUUUUGUCUUGCUUUCCUACACACCUGGUUUCCAUUUCCCUCUUUAAGUGUUGUGUAUUUAACCCUCUGUUCCCCCCAUGUCCUUGUGUGGAAUGGUUUGUUUGUAAGUGCUUGUGCACUAUGUUGCUGGUGCGCGUCGGGUUUUGUACCCAUGUAGAUUAUUUUUUUAUUACCGUUGGUUUUGAAAUUAAACUGCUCUCCUGCGUCUGACUUCACUGCCACCAGUUCCGCAACCCUUACAUUGUGUAAACUUCUGACUUCAGCUGGAUGUACGCACCACUUUUCCGUUAUUUUAUUUUUUUAAAUAUUUUUUUACAAUAUUUUUUUUAUAUAUAUUUUGGGGGAUUAUGUUGUGUAUGUCCAUUACAUGAAAUCCAAAUAAAAAUCCAUUUAAAUUA
Long non-coding RNA from Oncorhynchus keta (chum salmon), 8787 nucleotides. RefSeq lists it as uncharacterized. The record is from RefSeq and is a predicted model, not a curated record. The transcript is spliced from 3 exons. Lineage: Eukaryota; Metazoa; Chordata; Actinopteri; Salmoniformes; Salmonidae.